This is a long non-coding RNA of Panicum virgatum (switchgrass), 2790 nucleotides long. RefSeq lists it as uncharacterized. The transcript is spliced from 3 exons. Lineage: Eukaryota; Viridiplantae; Streptophyta; Magnoliopsida; Poales; Poaceae. The record is from RefSeq and is a predicted model, not a curated record.
UCAGGCUCUCUCCCCGUUUCCUUCCUUCUGGCGCACCCAUCCCAACCCUUUCAGGCCUUCCCCCGACGCCGCCUCCCCCUCGCCUCAGCGCCUCCGUCGCCCUCUCUGGCUCUCUUUCCCCCCUCCACGCCGCCGGCACCCGAUUUGCGGGUUCAUCGAGCCGCCGAAGGGCCCCUUCGUCCUCCGCACAGAUCCUCCCCCGCCGUCGCCACUCCCGGUCUCCGAGCGGUGGGUGGUCCGCGCACCUCCGGCCUCCCCCUCGCGGUGGUGCUCCCGUUCCUGUCGUCCCUAACUGCCUCUAGCACCGAGCAGCAAGACGUGUGCAGAUCGGCGGAGUGGGGAUGCGCGAGGGGAGGCGGCCGGUGUGGUCGGCGGCGGAGGAGCUACGAUCCGGUAGGCUGCCCCGCACGCGAUCUGCUCGGCCGGCGCGGCGAUCCGCACGGUGGCCGUCGUUCGCCCCCGACGUCGACGCGCUUGACAACCGCGGAUCCUCCGUCACCGCAGCCGGGCCCCGAGCUGCAGACAGAUCGAGCCAGCGGAGUCCGAGCUCUCCUCCGCACACCCUCUUCCUCCGCCGGAACCCGAGCUGCGGGCGGAUCGACCUCGACUCAAGCCCGACCGCCGAUCCGUUGACGGGACCCGAGACUCCCGACCCCCCCCCCCCCCCCCCCCCCCCAAACGCCGCAUCCCCUACCAUCCGAUUCACUCUCAUCCGAUCCAUCCAAAUACCCCUCCAUUGCGCCGCAAAAUACCUCCAUCGCCCAGCUCGGAGCGGCGGCGAUCUUACCCUCCCCCGAGCCAACGUGGAGGGGUGGUGAGCAGCAAUGGAGCAGGGGAGACCUUGCUGCGUUGAUGGUCGGAAGGAUGAGAUCGGGCGUUGGUCGCUCCGCGCUUGGGAUCGACGGGUGGCCGGAUGGGACGGCGCUCAGCAGCUCCCUCUCUCCUCCAUGGUUCCAUGGAUACGCACCUCCAUUGUUGGUUCAUGAAUUGGGUUUUGGCUUGUUGCCCAAUUCAUAUGUGUUCAAGGGAACAAAGGAGGUCACCAAGGAACAAAUAUUGGAACAAAUGUGCUUCUUUGCAGGGAAGAAAAUGGCCGCAACUGGGGUGAUUGCUGGUACCAGAGAUGGUCUUUCAUCUGAGAGCAUCUCUAGGUUCCUGCUGCCUGCUUCUGAAUGAGAGUUUGUGUUGAACUCAGUUACAGAAGAAAUGCAAAAGGACCCUAGGCCUGUUCCAGCUGAUCAGCAGGCAUCAAGGUGCACUGGAGUUGCCUUAAGUGUUGCAGCCAAUCUCCUUGGGGUUUGUGUCCCUGGAUCAGGUUCUAGGAUAAUGGCAUUUGUUGGUGGUCCAUCUACAGAAGGCCCUGGUUCUAUAAGUCCUAAUUCUUUCAACUGGAUGCCAUUCUUUUAAAGCCAUCAUGGGUUCCUUCAAGUACAUCAUUCCUGAAUUAACAUGCCUAACAGAGGGCCAACUGGGAAGGUUCCUUCAGCGAUGUACAACCUGCAUAUUUCUCUGGAAAUUUAACAUAUGUUCCUAUAAGCUCUAGAAAUGUUACUGUCUGUAACUUCUGAAGUGGAAUGGAUUAUGCUCACCUAACCUGAACAUAUCUAGAUCUGAUGCUCUAAAUUUUAUAUAACAUUAACAUGGUUUUAUCUUAUUUCCCCAAAAUAGUCUGCUAGAUGCUAAAAUGCUAAAUUACUUUUAAUAGCCAUGAUUCUGGGAGCAGUUAUUUAGCUGUAUAGUUCACUAUAUGCCUGAGUGUUAUCUGUUUACAUUUGCUUGGGGAUUAUGUUGGAGUACACAUGAUAGUAUAAGAUAAGUACUUGUUCACCUGCUUUAGACUAUAAGUUUUUUCAGAAGACGCUGUGGGGCUGCCCACCCCUGCCCCCCCCCCCCCCCCGCUGCUCGGCUCCCAUCCCCCGGCCGUCGCGUGGGGCUGCUGCGGCGGUGGGCGGCGGCGGCGCGGGGCCUUCCGUUGCCGGAUAUCUCGCGGCCCCUUCCUCCGCCGGCGAGCGCGGCGCUAGAUGCCGUCAGUGGUGCGGCGUGGCGGUGAACUCGAGCGCCAGAGAGCUCUUCCUCCGCCGGCGAGCGCGGCGCUAGAUCCCGUCAGUGGUGCGGCGCGGCGGUGAACUCGAGCGCCAGAGAGCUCUGCCGCGAUGCGUCGAGCGCCAUCAAGCUCCGUCUCUCUCUCCGGGCUCCGGCGGCGGCCGCCGGCCGAGGUAGCAGGGUCAACGCCGGCGACGGGGCAGCGGGAAGCGGUGGUGGUGGAGGUGGAGCGGGUCUGCACAAUUCGAGCGCGAAGAAGACGAGCACCGCAGUGGCGCGGGGUGGCAGCGGUGGCCGGCGCGGGCGCGGGGGACCAACGGCUGGAGGCGAGGUGCCUCGGCAACACGCCGCCACACCUAAAUUUUUUGUCGUACUCUGCCACUGCAGACAUGAGUGACCAUGUAUAGAUUCUUGUGCUAGCCUGUGCCACUUUGGUUAGUGUUAUUAGAUUUGCUGAUCACCACCUAGCCUACUGAUUUUUGGUUUUCCUUUGCACAGAUGACUUCACAAAUCUGCAUUUUGCUAGAAGUUUUGAGUAGUCGUACAACCCUUGUACGAAAAGAUUGGAGGGCUGUGAAUUUACAGGUUCUUUGGAUUAAGACGUCAUUGACGCCUGGCUGAACGACAUAGGGUUAUUUCAUCCAUGUUUCAUUUUCUUUUUGCAGAUUCAAUAGUAUGUUUAGACAAAUUAUGUGACUUUACCAUUUAUAUGUUGAUAUAAACUUGUGUUUAAUAUUUUGAUAUAAA